UUUACCUCGCCUCCCACCUUGACCUGGCCCCCAGCGUCUCACACAUGCCUCCCCUCACCACCUGGAGAACACACAACCACCCACCUCAGGGCACACAGAGGUGACACAAAUGACAAAUCCCUCUCCCCUUCCCCCAGGCCACAGCGGGAAGACGCGAGUACCAACGCACAUGGACGUACACGGUGCAGCUGUGUGAGCCACCCACGCGCACAGCGGCCAAGCUGCUUGACCCACUGUCCAGCCCAGCAGGAGCCCCCACACCCCCAGAAGCAUGCUCUUUCUCCCAGUCCAGGCCCUCCUGCAGUCCUUGGUGCCUGGCCCUGGCCCGACAGACGAUGGGCACUUACCCAGCGGAGCCCCUGGAUGCAGCUGGGGCGCUGGUGCUCAAGCAGCAGCUGGCCUCUUUGCUGAGCUGUCCUCUUGAACCCACCGCUUCCCGGAUCUUCCCUCGUGCCUCUAGGUAGGCGUGUCUGAACUCCCCCCUCCUGCCCUGCGUCUCCCAGCUGCCUGCUCCAGGAGCCCCACGACCGCCUGAGCCAGGAACUGGAUUCCUCUGUCUCUCCUUGUCCCACAUCAAAUCAGCCAGCAGGUCUGGUUGAUUCGACCAACGCAUAAUCUGUUACAUUCAUCCCUUAUGCCCCAGCCCUGCCGCCACUGCAGUGGGACGGUGGUGGCUUCUCCCGGCAACUUACCAUGUGCCGGGUGCUACGUCACUUUGCAGACUUUACCUUUUAAGCCUCAGAACACCCUCUGCUCGCAAGGGCAGAGGCACAGAGAGGAGAAGGAGGAGGAGAGGAGAAGUAACCUGCCCACAGCCCCACGAUGGAGUCUGGUAGAGCCAGACUCGGGCAGCGGGAUUGCAGAGCUCACGCUCCACACCAUCUUGUACCGCCUCCCAUCGCUACUCUCAGCCUCGCCUUCCUCACUCUUUCCCGUGCGAGGCUGCAGGAAUCCUCAGUUCACUCCACGGCGACAUUUACCGUGAGUGCCAGAGAUACAGCUCAAAACUGGAAAUCUGCAACUGGGCGGACCAGGGGCUGCAGGACCACAGGGCCAAGCAGAAUUUUCUUUAUCUCCUUCACACACCGAUCUGGUCAGGCCUCCCUGCCCAGCACCAUGCCUGACGUCGUGAUCUCACGGUUCACGGGAUCGAGUCCCGCAUCGGCUCGGGCUCUGUGCUG
Felis catus (domestic cat) is the source of this 1181-nucleotide long non-coding RNA. RefSeq lists it as uncharacterized. NCBI's taxonomy places the organism in Eukaryota, Metazoa, Chordata, Mammalia, Carnivora, Felidae. The transcript is spliced from 3 exons. The record is from RefSeq and is a predicted model, not a curated record.